This 2624-nucleotide ribosomal RNA is filed under the name Escherichia coli O104:H4 str. C227-11. Its description in RNAcentral is "bacterial LSU rRNA". It matches the Rfam family "Bacterial large subunit ribosomal RNA", at positions 314 to 2925 of the family's 2925-position model. The record is from RNAcentral. Lineage: Bacteria; Pseudomonadati; Pseudomonadota; Gammaproteobacteria; Enterobacterales; Enterobacteriaceae.
GAAUCAGUGUGUGUGUUAGUGGAAGCGUCUGGAAAGGCGCGCGAUACAGGGUGACAGCCCCGUACACAAAAAUGCACAUAUUGUGAGCUCGAUGAGUAGGGCGGGACACGUGGUAUCCUGUCUGAAUAUGGGGGACCAUCCUCCAAGGCUAAAUACUCCUGACUGACCGAUAGUGAACCAGUACCGUGAGGGAAAGGCGAAAAGAACCCCGGCGAGGGAGUGAAAAAGAACCUGAAACCGUGUACGUACAAGCAGUGGGAGCACGCUUAGGCGUGUGACUGCGUACCUUUUGUAUAAUGGAGUCCAGCGACUUAUAUUCUGUAGCAAGGUUAACCGAAUAGGGGAGCCGAAGGGAAACCGAGUCUUAACUGGGCGUUAAGUUGCAGGGUAUAGACCCGAAACCCGGUGAUCUAGCCAUGGGCAGGUUGAAGGUUGGGUAACACUAACUGGAGGACCGAACCGACUAAUGUUGAAAAAUUAGCGGAUGACUUGUGGCUGGGGUGAAAGGCCAAUCAAACCGGAGAUAGCUGGUUCUCCCGAAAGCUAUUUAGGUAGCGCCUCGUGAAUUCAUCUCCGGGGGUAGAGCACUGUUUCGGCAAGGGGGUCAUCCCGACUUACCAACCCGAUGCAAACUGCGAAUACCGGAGAAUGUUAUCACGGGAGACACACGGCGGGUGCUAACGUCCGUCGUGAAGAGGGAAACAACCCAGACCGCCAGCUAAGGUCCCAAAGUCAUGGUUAAGUGGGAAACGAUGUGGGAAGGCCCAGACAGCCAGGAUGUUGGCUUAGAAGCAGCCAUCAUUUAAAGAAAGCGUAAUAGCUCACUGGUCGAGUCGGCCUGCGCGGAAGAUGUAACGGGGCUAAACCAUGCACCGAAGCUGCGGCAGCGACGCUGAUGCGUUGUUGGGUAGGGGAGCGUUCUGUAAGCCUGCGAAGGUGUGCUGUGAGGCAUGCUGGAGGUAUCAGAAGUGCGAAUGCUGACAUAAGUAACGAUAAAGCGGGUGAAAAGCCCGCUCGCCGGAAGACCAAGGGUUCCUGUCCAACGUUAAUCGGGGCAGGGUGAGUCGACCCCUAAGGCGAGGCCGAAAGGCGUAGUCGAUGGGAAACAGGUUAAUAUUCCUGUACUUGGUGUUACUGCGAAGGGGGACGGAGAAGGCUAUGUUGGCCGGGCGACGGUUGUCCCGGUUUAAGCGUGUAGGCUGGUUUUCCAGGCAAAUCCGGAAAAUCAAGGCUGAGGCGUGAUGACGAGGCACUACGGUGCUGAAGCAACAAAUGCCCUGCUUCCAGGAAAAGCCUCUAAGCAUCAGGUAACAUCAAAUCGUACCCCAAACCGACACAGGUGGUCAGGUAGAGAAUACCAAGGCGCUUGAGAGAACUCGGGUGAAGGAACUAGGCAAAAUGGUGCCGUAACUUCGGGAGAAGGCACGCUGAUAUGUAGGUGAAGUCCCUCGCGGAUGGAGCUGAAAUCAGUCGAAGAUACCAGCUGGCUGCAACUGUUUAUUAAAAACACAGCACUGUGCAAACACGAAAGUGGACGUAUACGGUGUGACGCCUGCCCGGUGCCGGAAGGUUAAUUGAUGGGGUUAGCGCAAGCGAAGCUCUUGAUCGAAGCCCCGGUAAACGGCGGCCGUAACUAUAACGGUCCUAAGGUAGCGAAAUUCCUUGUCGGGUAAGUUCCGACCUGCACGAAUGGCGUAAUGAUGGCCAGGCUGUCUCCACCCGAGACUCAGUGAAAUUGAACUCGCUGUGAAGAUGCAGUGUACCCGCGGCAAGACGGAAAGACCCCGUGAACCUUUACUAUAGCUUGACACUGAACAUUGAGCCUUGAUGUGUAGGAUAGGUGGGAGGCUUUGAAGUGUGGACGCCAGUCUGCAUGGAGCCGACCUUGAAAUACCACCCUUUAAUGUUUGAUGUUCUAACGUUGACCCGUAAUCCGGGUUGCGGACAGUGUCUGGUGGGUAGUUUGACUGGGGCGGUCUCCUCCUAAAGAGUAACGGAGGAGCACGAAGGUUGGCUAAUCCUGGUCGGACAUCAGGAGGUUAGUGCAAUGGCAUAAGCCAGCUUGACUGCGAGCGUGACGGCGCGAGCAGGUGCGAAAGCAGGUCAUAGUGAUCCGGUGGUUCUGAAUGGAAGGGCCAUCGCUCAACGGAUAAAAGGUACUCCGGGGAUAACAGGCUGAUACCGCCCAAGAGUUCAUAUCGACGGCGGUGUUUGGCACCUCGAUGUCGGCUCAUCACAUCCUGGGGCUGAAGUAGGUCCCAAGGGUAUGGCUGUUCGCCAUUUAAAGUGGUACGCGAGCUGGGUUUAGAACGUCGUGAGACAGUUCGGUCCCUAUCUGCCGUGGGCGCUGGAGAACUGAGGGGGGCUGCUCCUAGUACGAGAGGACCGGAGUGGACGCAUCACUGGUGUUCGGGUUGUCAUGCCAAUGGCACUGCCCGGUAGCUAAAUGCGGAAGAGAUAAGUGCUGAAAGCAUCUAAGCACGAAACUUGCCCCGAGAUGAGUUCUCCCUGACCCUUUAAGGGUCCUGAAGGAACGUUGAAGACGACGACGUUGAUAGGCCGGGUGUGUAAGCGCAGCGAUGCGUUGAGCUAACCGGUACUAAUGAACCGUGAGGCUUAACCUU